Long non-coding RNA from Pogoniulus pusillus (Red-fronted tinkerbird), 732 nucleotides. RefSeq lists it as uncharacterized. The record is from RefSeq and is a predicted model, not a curated record. NCBI's taxonomy places the organism in Eukaryota, Metazoa, Chordata, Aves, Piciformes, Lybiidae. The transcript is spliced from 2 exons.
CCCGGCCCCCAGCCGGCAAACUGCUCCAGGCCGGUCCCGAUCCCGAUCCCGCCGCAGGCUCCCCCAUGAGGUUGUGCAUAACCAAAACCCCAGCUUUGCUACAGCUACAGCCUCUGAUGAGACAUCAGCAGUGGGACUGGAAAAGCAGAAAACAGGAUCUCAUCCAGAAGAUAACUGCUGCACAGUGCUGCCUCUCCAGAGACUCUCAUCAAGCAGAAAAUAACAUCCUGUUUGCCUCAGCUGCGUAUCAAAUCUGAGCUGUUAAAGACAGGGCUUGAAAACAGCUGUCAUCACUGAAGCUGCAGUGUCACAUAGGAAGAUCUUUGUGGCUGAUGUGUUGUUUUCUUUACCUGAGAAGGAUUCAAUGUAGCGCAGGAGGCCAUGGAGAUGAGCAUCUGGUGAUGUGCAGUACCUCACAAUUUCCAGAAACUCUGGGGCCAGGAAUGAAUCCUGGGGUCAAGGGAAAGAUGAUAAAAGUAACACAAUUAGCCUGUGCAAUUUUUUACAGCCCAGGAGGGAAAUGGACUUUCAGGCAGCCACAGGAAAACAUGCAGUGUCCAGGGAGCAAGGCUGGCAGUCACACUUGGGUUACUUUGGUGGCAGGAAGUGCAGAAUGUUGCUGAUGGGUUUUUUUGGUGGUUUAGGUAUGUUGCCACUUGCUCUGGUUCACGGGUUUCUAAGUGUAACUGGCCAGAUUUAUCCUUAGUGUGAUGGGAAGGAGCUGGGCUCACA